UAUUGGCCAAUGGGCGAAAGCCUGAUCCAGCAAUGCCGCGUGAAUGAUGAAGGCCUCCCCCCUUGUAAAGUUCUUUUAGUAGGGAAGAUAAUGACGGUACCUACAGAAAAAGCCCCGGCUAACUCCGUGCCAGCAGCCGCGGUAAGACGGAGGGGGCUAGCGUUGUUCGGAAUUACUGGGCGUAAAGAGCGCGUAGGCGGUUUGGUAAGUUGGAAGUGAAAGCCCGAGGCUUAACCUCGGAAUUGCUUUCAAAACUGCCAAUCUAGAGUGUAGUAGGGGAUGAUGGAAUUCCUAGUGUAGAGGUGAAAUUCUUAGAUAUUAGGAGGAACACCGAUGGCGAAGGCAGUCACCUGGGCUACAACUGACGCUAAUGCGCGAAA
This 380-nucleotide ribosomal RNA is filed under the name uncultured bacterium. RNAcentral describes it as "bacterial SSU rRNA". It matches the Rfam family "Bacterial small subunit ribosomal RNA", at positions 362 to 758 of the family's 1533-position model. The record is from RNAcentral.